CUGAACUCUGAGCUUUGAAGACCCCCAGAAACACUUUCUGGCAGGCUACAGAAACAUCAAGGAGAUUGGGUAGAAACAGGAGGGCCAGCUGAUGCUGAGAAAAAUUUGAGGCUCUCGUAUAUACAUAACAUGUGAAUCCACUACUGGGAUGGUUGCCUAGCAACAUUAUUCCCCUCCCCCUCAAGCCUUCUUGUGACAGCCUCACUUCUUUCCUAUUCUGAUAUUAGCUUAAUGUUUUUUUAUGAAUCAGAUGUACAAUAUUUUGGGAAUGGUGUAUAGCAUAAGAGAGUAGAGAGUAGCCUGAUUUACUAGUAUCAUUUGGAAAAUAUACAAUCCAGGCAGCUCUUUUAAAAAGUUAAUGGUCCAUUUUUGGCCAUGUUACAAAAGUAGAUGUUUAGAUUACAAGAAGAUUUUUUAAAAAGGAAAUACCUAAGGAUCCUGCCCUGCGAAGGCCCCAUUCUGCCGCUCUCGUAUUCAUAGCAGAUGUUUAGGUGGACGUUUCCGGUUGUGCAAGGACCCGGUGAUUUGCCUCAGGUGGACGUAAAAGCCAGUCCACCCCAGGUCCUUUCUCCUGACCAGAGAAGCGUAAAGCUGGAAGGUGCAGGAAAACAUCCAGUUGCUGAGCUGACUUCACUGAAGAAGCCCGGAGAGCUGAGCGCAUUUUCAGUCUCCCAAAUACCAGUCGCAGGUACCUGAACUUCCAGUUUCUCAAGAGACCAAGUUGUGGGAAACGGCCCAUCAGGAAGAAGAUUCUUGCCUCUGGCGAGAUUUGACCACAAGUUUAGGAACUCACUGCAUGAGAAUGCCGUGGAUCGUGUCUUAACCCCCUUCUGCUCAGUCUCACCAGUGAAAAAUGGAAGAUGCAUACUGGCAUAGAAAGAAGAUCACAAGCUUCGGAGCCAGAGAGACUUAGGUUCAAAUUCCAGCUCAACCCCAUUCCUCUCUGAGUGAUGGUAGAUAACUAUUCAAGGUUCUCAACAUUUAUUGAGCACCUCCUCACACGAGGCUCUGUGCUGUAUGCUGCGAACUUUAAGGUCCGUGAAAUAAUGCCUGCCCAUGAGAAGACUAAGUCUAGCCAGCGAUACGAACCUAAAAACACCAACUGUGGACCGGGAGUGUGCGUAUUCUCUAACGGAGGAGUGUGCACUCUGAUUGAGAGAACUAUUUUCCUUGGUGGAUGGGGCGUGGUUGUGGUCUCGGUGAGCAUGUCAGAGAAGAGGAGGAUGACCUGGAGUCAGGGAAGGGCAUUGUAAUUCAAAAGAACAGCAUGAGGAAAGGCACAGAGGCGUGAAGCGGUGAGAUGCUGAGUUAUCCAUGGAAGCUUGACACAACAGAAGGCCAUAUGAUACCUGGGUUGUGAGGAGCCCAAAAUAUGUCUUACAUGGGAAUCCCAGGUCAUCACAAACUACCAGAACAUCAGAAGGGGACCCCUAACAGUUUGCAAAGGAAAGCUGGGACAGCAGCUGUUAAGAUUCUGCAAAAGGGCCCAUGAAGCCCGAGGUGGACUUCGUUGGCCUUGCCUUCAUCAAAGAGAGGCUCGAGGAGUGCACAGCUGCCAGCUCUUGAGGACAGGCUGCUGUGAGCAGCAACACAGCUGAGCUCCCUUGGCUUCAUGGUGGGAGAUUCAUAAGAUGUGCCAAAUGAGGCACGGAGGGUUUCACUCACGUGCUUAAGUCUCACUGCUGGCACGUGGCGGAGCCAGGAUUCGGACUCAGUUCCAGAGCCCACAUUCUAUAUAUGUCUGCUUCCAAGUGAACACUGCUGUCCCUCCUAAUCAUGAGAUUUUAUGCUCAAGUAAUAAACUCUCCGUUGGACCAAUUCUUUCUGAGCAGGAAUGCUGUGUGCCUGAGCCCUGCACGUACAGAUCAGACCCCAGCCUCUCCCAUGCCUCCCU
Long non-coding RNA from Equus caballus (horse), 1894 nucleotides. Lineage: Eukaryota; Metazoa; Chordata; Mammalia; Perissodactyla; Equidae. The record is from Ensembl.